Molecule: ribosomal RNA, 497 nt
Filed under: uncultured bacterium
Lineage: Bacteria
Description: partial 16S ribosomal RNA
Rfam family: Bacterial small subunit ribosomal RNA
Source: RNAcentral
GACGAACGCUGGCGGCGUGCCUAAUACACGCAAGUUGAGCGCUGAAGGUUGGUACUUGUACCAACUGGAUGAGCAGCGAACGGGUGAGUAACGCGUGGGGAAUCUGCCUUUGAGCGGGGGACAACAUUUGGAAACGAAUGCUAAUACCGCAUAAAAACUUUAAACACAAGUUUUAAGUUUGAAAGAUGCAAUUGCAUCACUCAAAGAUGAUCCCGCGUUGUAUUAGCUAGUUGGUGAGGUAAAGGCUCACCAAGGCGAUGAUACAUAGCCGACCUGAGAGGGUGAUCGGCCACAUUGGGACCGAGACACGGCCCAAACUCCUACGGGAGGCAGCAGUAGGGAAUCUUCGGCAAUGGACGAAAGUCUGACCGAGCAACGCCGCGUGAGUGAAGAAGGUUUUCGGAUCGUAAAACUCUGUUGGUAGAGAAGAACGUUGGUGAGAGUGGAAAGCUCAUCAAGUGACGGUAACUACACAGAAAGGGACGGCUAACUACGUG